CGUCGUCGUUUUAUUCAUGCGUUCCGCCGGAGCUUCAGUUAUUGACUUUUCUUCCGAACGUUGCUAAUUCUUGCUGAGAAAACGCGGGAUUGAAGCUGGAGGUGGUUGUUUGUCUUCUAAUUUGGAAAUAAUUAGGUUAGGGAUUGGAGCUUUCCGAUUCUUGACCGUGUGACGGAUGUUUAAGAAGAUCAUAAAAGGAGGGCGGAAGCCGUCGAAGUCCGACGAUGGAUUUGGAAACCACGCCCACCGCCAACCGGGAAAUGUGGUGGUUAA
Molecule: long non-coding RNA, 273 nt
Filed under: Linum usitatissimum (flax)
Lineage: Eukaryota; Viridiplantae; Streptophyta; Magnoliopsida; Malpighiales; Linaceae
Description: long non-coding RNA (LUSI_LNC000738)
Source: RNAcentral